Molecule: ribosomal RNA, 250 nt
Filed under: uncultured bacterium
Lineage: Bacteria
Description: partial 16S ribosomal RNA
Rfam family: Bacterial small subunit ribosomal RNA
Source: RNAcentral
UACGGAGGGUGCAAGCGUUGUUCGGAUUUACUGGGCGUAAAGGGCGCGUAGGCGGUCUUAUAAGCCAUAUGUGAAAGCCCACGGCUCAACCGUGGAAGUGCAUGUGGAACUGUGAGACUUGAGUAUGGGAGAGGAAAGUGGAAUUCCCGGUGUAGAGGUGAAAUUCGUAGAUAUCGGGAGGAAUACCGGUGGCGAAGGCGACUUUCUGGACCAAUACUGACGCUGAGGCGCGAAAGCGUGGGUAGCAAAC